AUUGAACGCUGGCGGCAUGCCUUACACAUGCAAGUCGAACGGCAGCACGGGAGCUUGCUCCUGGUGGCGAGUGGCGAACGGGUGAGUAAUACAUCGGAACGUACCCUGAAGUGGGGGAUAACGUAGCGAAAGUUACGCUAAUACCGCAUAUUCUGUGAGCAGGAAAGAGGGGGAUCGCAAGACCUCUUGCUUUAGGAGCGGCCGAUGUCGGAUUAGCUAGUUGGUGAGGUAAAGGCUCACCAAGGCGACGAUCCGUAGCGGGUCUGAGAGGAUGAUCCGCCACACUGGGACUGAGACACGGCCCAGACUCCUACGGGAGGCAGCAGUGGGGAAUUUUGGACAAUGGGCGCAAGCCUGAUCCAGCCAUGCCGCGUGAGUGAAGAAGGCCUGGUGUAAGCUCUUCGUGGGGUAAGGAAAGUUAGC
Molecule: ribosomal RNA, 423 nt
Filed under: uncultured bacterium
Lineage: Bacteria
Description: bacterial SSU rRNA
Rfam family: Bacterial small subunit ribosomal RNA
Source: RNAcentral